CCUGAGAAACCCAAAAGAUCGAAUGGGGAGAUUCAUCGUCAGCGCAUUUUGUAUAUAUGUAAGUUAUGAUGUGGGUUACUCUUUGUAGUAUUGCCUACACAUUCUUAUAUAUUUAGUAGCAAUAUGUUUGUCGGCGUGCACUUCUCCCCUAGUAGGACGUCGCGACCCGUUGGGUGUUGGUCUACGGCCCAAUUGGAAGCCCUUAAUGCUUAAAAUACAUUAAAGACAAUUGGUGUUACCUGACCCAGCUGCCCGGCGGUAUUCGUAUGGUAUUUAGCCGCAAAUAUUAUUGUAUGCGUCCAAUCCGUCGCAAGCGAGACCAGUUUACGGUAGAACGGACCUAGUGCCGUCGCUGUCUCUGGCCAGCUGUUGGUUGUUACGGUAUUCUGGGACUGGCUAAAAUUAUUACCGGUCGGCGAUGCUACUGCUUUGGGUACUUUCAGGACCCGUCUUGAAACACGGACCAAGGAGUCUAACAUGUGCGCGAGUCAUUGGGAUAUUUUUUAAUGAAACCUAAAGGCGUAAUGAAAGUAAAGGUCGUCCUUGCGUCGACUGAGGGAGGAUGGACUGUAUUAUGAUACAGCCCCGCACUCCCGGGGCGUCUCAUUCUCAUUGUGAGAAGAGGCGCACCCAG
This 634-nucleotide ribosomal RNA is filed under the name Doryctoproctus africanus. RNAcentral's name for it is "eukaryotic LSU rRNA". It matches the Rfam family "Eukaryotic large subunit ribosomal RNA", at positions 386 to 798 of the family's 3401-position model. The record is from RNAcentral. Lineage: Eukaryota; Metazoa; Arthropoda; Insecta; Hymenoptera; Braconidae.